This is an unclassified non-coding RNA of Pongo abelii (Sumatran orangutan), 291 nucleotides long. It matches the Rfam family "Metazoan signal recognition particle RNA". From Rfam's summary of the family: The signal recognition particle (SRP) is a universally conserved ribonucleoprotein. The record is from Ensembl. NCBI's taxonomy places the organism in Eukaryota, Metazoa, Chordata, Mammalia, Primates, Hominidae.
GUUGCGUGGACCUGUAGUUCCAGCUAUUCAGGAGGCCGAGGUUGAAGGAUCACUUGAGCCCAGGAGUUCUGGGCUAUAGUGCUCUGUGCUGAUCAGAUAUCUACACUUAAGUUCAGCAUCAAUAUUGUGACUUCCCAGGAGAGGAGGUCCACAAGGUUGCCUAAGGAAGGAUGAACUGGUCCAGGUCAGAAACAGAGGAGGUCAAAACUCCCAUGUAGAUCAGUAGUGGUAGUGUGCCUGUGAAUAGCCACUGCACUCCAGCCUGGGCAACAUAGCAAGACCCUGUCUCUU